AAAUUGAAGAGUUUGAUCAUGGCUCAGAUUGAACGCUGGCGGCAGGCCUAACACAUGCAAGUCGAACGGUAACAGGAAGCAGCUUGCUGCUUCGCUGACGAGUGGCGGACGGGUGAGUAAUGUCUGGGAAACUGCCUGAUGGAGGGGAUAACUACUGGAAACGGUGGCUAAUACCGCAUAACGUCGCAAGACCAAAGAGGGGGACCUUCGGGCCUCUUGCCAUCAGAUGUGCCCAGAUGGGAUUAGCUAGUUGGUGAGGUAACGGCUCACCAAGGCGACGAUCCCUAGCUGGUCUGAGAGGAUGACCAGCCACACUGGAACUGAGACACGGUCCAGACUCCUACGGGAGGCAGCAGUGGGGAAUAUUGCACAAUGGGCGCAAGCCUGAUGCAGCCAUGCCGCGUGUAUGAAGAAGGCCUUCGGGUUGUAAAGUACUUUCAGCGGGGAGGAAGGUGUUGUGGUUAAUAACCGCAGCAAUUGACGUUACCCGCAGAAGAAGCACCGGCUAACUCCGUGCCAGCAGCCGCGGUAAUACGGAGGGUGCAAGCGUUAAUCGGAAUUACUGGGCGUAAAGCGCACGCAGGCGGUCUGUCAAGUCGGAUGUGAAAUCCCCGGGCUCAACCUGGGAACUGCAUUCGAAACUGGCAGGCUUGAGUCUUGUAGAGGGGGGUAGAAUUCCAGGUGUAGCGGUGAAAUGCGUAGAGAUCUGGAGGAAUACCGGUGGCGAAGGCGGCCCCCUGGACAAAGACUGACGCUCAGGUGCGAAAGCGUGGGGAGCAAACAGGAUUAGAUACCCUGGUAGUCCACGCCGUAAACGAUGUCUACUUGGAGGUUGUGCCCUUGAGGCGUGGCUUCCGGAGCUAACGCGUUAAGUAGACCGCCUGGGGAGUACGGCCGCAAGGUUAAAACUCAAAUGAAUUGACGGGGGCCCGCACAAGCGGUGGAGCAUGUGGUUUAAUUCGAUGCAACGCGAAGAACCUUACCUGGUCUUGACAUCCACAGAACUUUCCAGAGAUGGAUUGGUGCCUUCGGGAACUGUGAGACAGGUGCUGCAUGGCUGUCGUCAGCUCGUGUUGUGAAAUGUUGGGUUAAGUCCCGCAACGAGCGCAACCCUUAUCCUUUGUUGCCAGCGAUUAGGUCGGGAACUCAAAGGAGACUGCCAGUGAUAAACUGGAGGAAGGUGGGGAUGACGUCAAGUCAUCAUGGCCCUUACGACCAGGGCUACACACGUGCUACAAUGGCGCAUACAAAGAGAAGCGACCUCGCGAGAGCAAGCGGACCUCAUAAAGUGCGUCGUAGUCCGGAUUGGAGUCUGCAACUCGACUCCAUGAAGUCGGAAUCGCUAGUAAUCGUGGAUCAGAAUGCCACGGUGAAUACGUUCCCGGGCCUUGUACACACCGCCCGUCACACCAUGGGAGUGGGUUGCAAAAGAAGUAGGUAGCUUAACCUUCGGGAGGGCGCUUACCACUUUGUGAUUCAUGACUGGGGUGAAGUCGUAACAAGGUAACCGUAGGGGAACCUGCGGUUGGAUCACCUCCUUACCUUAAAGAAGC
Molecule: ribosomal RNA, 1553 nt
Filed under: Salmonella enterica subsp. enterica serovar 1,4,[5],12:i:-
Lineage: Bacteria; Pseudomonadati; Pseudomonadota; Gammaproteobacteria; Enterobacterales; Enterobacteriaceae
Description: bacterial SSU rRNA
Rfam family: Bacterial small subunit ribosomal RNA
Source: RNAcentral